Molecule: ribosomal RNA, 280 nt
Filed under: uncultured bacterium
Lineage: Bacteria
Description: partial 16S ribosomal RNA
Rfam family: Bacterial small subunit ribosomal RNA
Source: RNAcentral
CCUACGGGGGGCAGCAGUGGGGAAUAUUGGACAAUGGGCGAAAGCCUGAUCCAGCCAUGCCGCGUGUGUGAAGAAGGUCUUCGGAUUGUAAAGCACUUUAAGUUGGGAGGAAGGGCAGUAAGCUAAUACCUUGCUGUUUUGACGUUACCGACAGAAUAAGCACCGGCUAACUCUGUGCCAGCAGCCGCGGUAAUACAGAGGGUGCAAGCGUUAAUCGGAAUUACUGGGCGUAAAGCGCGCGUAGGUGGUUUGUUAAGUUGGAUGUGAAAGCCCCGGGCUC